Molecule: ribosomal RNA, 835 nt
Filed under: uncultured marine bacterium
Lineage: Bacteria
Description: bacterial SSU rRNA
Rfam family: Bacterial small subunit ribosomal RNA
Source: RNAcentral
GAGGAAUAAGCAUCGGCUAACUCCCGUGCCAGCAGCCGCGGUAAUACGGGGGAUGCAAGCGUUAUCCGGAAUCAUUGGGCGUAAAGCGCCUGUAGGUUGUUUAAUAAGUCUGUUGUUAAAGACUAGGGCUUAACCCUAGAAAAGCAAUGGAAACUACUAGACUAGAGUAUGGCAGGGGUAGAGGGAAUUUCUAGUGUAGCGGUGAAAUGCGUAGAUAUUAGAAAGAACACCGGUGGCGAAAGCGCUCUACUGGACCGUUACUGACACUCAGAGGCGAAAGCUAGGGUAGCAAAAGGGAUUAGAUACCCCUGUAGUCCUAGCCGUAAACGAUGGAUACUACAUGUUGUGCAUUAUGUACAGUAUGGUAGCUAACGCGUUAAGUAUCCCGCCUGGGGAGUACGCUCGCAAGGGUGAAACUCAAAGGAAUUGACGGGGGCCCGCACAAGCGGUGGAGCAUGUGGUUUAAUUCGAUGCAACGCGAAGAACCUUACCAGGACUUGACAUACUACAAAUUCUUUUGAGAAAAAGAAGUGCCUUCGGGAAUGUAGAUACAGGUGGUGCAUGGCUGUCGUCAGCUCGUGUCGUGAGAUGUUGGGUUAAGUCCCGCAACGAGCGCAACCCUUAUUUUUAGUUACCAAUUCGUUGGGUUCUCUAGAAAGACUGCCGGUGACAAACCGGAGGAAGGUGAGGAUGACGUCAAGUCAGCAUGCCCCUUAUGUCCUGGGCUACACACGUGCUACAAUGGUUAAGACAAAGAGUCGCGAGCUCGUGAGAGUCAGCUAAUCUCAUAAACUUAGCCCAAGUUCAGAUUGUAGGCUGCAACUCGCCUACAUGA